Molecule: RNA transcript, 956 nt
Organism: Mandrillus leucophaeus (drill)
Lineage: Eukaryota; Metazoa; Chordata; Mammalia; Primates; Cercopithecidae
Gene name: peptide YY-like
Exons: 3
Source: RefSeq, a predicted model, not a curated record
UUUAGGCUAGGUACCCCAUCCACUGGGACCCCAAAUUUGAGCAUGGCAGCUGCCCCCUCAGCUCCUGUGAGGUGGAGACGUCACACACUGAUUGGGUGUAAGCUCAGCGAUCUGGCGGGAGUGGAAGGAGGAAGAAGGGCUCACCCCCUGCUGGCUCUCCCUCCCCGUGGGACUCCUUUUCCUUUUCAGGAGGGGAUAUAAGCCCGGAAAGGAAAGCCCUGAGCAGAGAAGGCCUCAGCUUGACCUGACCCAGUGCAGCCCUUGAAACUUCCCUCGCCUUCUACCUCCUGCUCAUCUGCUUCAUAAGCUGUCGCUAUGGUGUCGGUGCGCAGGUCGUGGCCUACCAUGGCCACAGUGCUUUUGGCCCUGCUCGUCUACCUGGGGGCGCUGGUCGAGGCCCACCCCAUCAAACCCGAGGAUCCCGGCGAAGACGCCCCCUUGGAGGAGCUGAGCCGCUACUACGCCUCCCUGAGCCACUACCUCAACCUGGUCACCCGGCCGUGGUGAGCGCAGGCGCGGGACAGCCCGGACACACGCCUCUCCAAAACGUUCUUCUCAGACGGCGAGGACCGCCCGGGCAGGUCGCAGUAAAAGCGCCCCCGUCAAGUCACAUAACAUCCUGCCUCCGAGAGUGCGGUCUGGCCCCACCCUGGUACAUCACUUACGACGUCUCCCAGGCUCGCCUCCCCAGAUCGGAUUCCUUUCCCUUCACUCCCGCAGGCCGGAGGCGCAGACCUGUGGUGAGGACCCCCGAGGCCUCCUGGGAGAUCUGCAGACCACGCCCACCUCAUUUGCAUGUUCACUCCCGACCCCGGAAACCCGGAUUCCGCCUCCCGACGGCAUCUGGGCAGGGAUCAGGUACCGCAGUCCUGCGUCUCGGUGCCCUCGCCUCUUGAGCUGCAGGGCUGUAUGUGGUCCUUCCCUGGUCCCAAAAUAAAGAGCGAAUUCCCCAGAAA